This 2946-nucleotide small RNA is filed under the name Pan troglodytes (chimpanzee). RNAcentral's name for it is "sense overlapping". Lineage: Eukaryota; Metazoa; Chordata; Mammalia; Primates; Hominidae. The record is from RNAcentral.
ACUGCAAGCUCCGCCUCCCGCGUUCACGCCAUUCUCCUGUGUCAGCCUCCUGAGUAGCUGGGACUACAGGCGCCCGCCACCAUGCCCGGCUAAUUUUUUUUGUAUUUUUAGUAGAGACGGGGUUUCACCAUGUUAGCCAGGAUGGUUUCAAUUUCCUGACCUCGUGAUCCGCCCGCCUCGGCCUCCCAAAGUGCUGGGAUUAUAGGCGUGAGCCACCGCGCCCAGCCCCUUUCAUUUUUGAUAUGGAGUUUUGUUCUUGUUGCCCAGGCUGGAAUGCAAUGGCGCGAUCUCAGCUCACUGCAACCUCUGCCUCCUGGGUUCAAGUGAUUCUCCUGGUUCAGCCUCCUGAGUAGCUGGGAUUACAGGAAUGCGCCACCACACCUGGCUACUUUUGUAUUUUUAGUAGAGAUGGGGUUUCUCCACGUGCAUCAGGCUAGUCUCACACUCCCGACUUCAGAUGAUCCACCCGCCUCGGCCUCCCAAAGUGCUGGGAUUACAGGCGUGAGCCACCGGGCCUGGCCAAAGCCUUGUUCACUUUCAUUUUGUGGCUGCUGUUGUGAAAUCUGCAGAACCUCAAGCUGUUUGGACUCCGUCUUCGAGGUUGAAUUAGAUUACAGGUAAUCUCAUGGUGGAGGUGUAUUCUGGAUCGACUCACUUGAAAUGUUUAUGAAAGAAAUUCCUUCACCUCAGGACUUCCACACUGGAGCUGGCAAUCAGUAUCACCUUAAUUUACCUAUCACAGUGAGGCAUCUCUGCUCUGAGGAAAACAAAACAAAACAAAAAAGAAGAGCUAAUGGUUCUGUUUUGUUUUGUUGUUUUAGAGACAGGGUCUUGCUCUGUCGCCUGGGCUGGAAUGCAGUGACAUCAUCAUAGCUCACUGUAGCCUUGAUCUCCUGGGCUCAAGUGAUCCUUCUGCCUCGGCCUGCGUAGCUGGGAUGGGACUACAGAUGCACGCCACCACACCUGGCUAAUUUUUUUAUUUUUGUAGAGACGAGGUCCCAUGUGAGCCACGGUGCCCCACCUUUUAAAGCAAUUACCGUAAGGAAGCAACUGUCUUUAGCAAAUAGAAGAUCAUAAACAUCCUUCUGGAGAUCUUGAGAUGUUGACUGUGGUUUAUAGGGCAAUGAAAAUCUACAUACCUGAGUGGGGCAGUGAGACAUGAGUGCCACCUAUGAUCCUUCCAGUGAGCAAUUCUUUCUGGUGCCAGGAGCCCAAAGGAAACUCAGUCAACCAGCUGUAGAUGGGCUUGUUCCGAGUUUGUUCUAGAAGUCAGAACUGCCAGCUCUGAAAGUAGGUCACAAGUGACUGGCCAUCCCUGGGCUGCUCACAGGAAGUAGGUGCAAAGGUCAGGGAAAGUUUUUAAUGACUAUACAGGCCAGUGAAUGACAGGCUUUGAGGAGCUUCUCUUCUUGGCAUCUGAAACAGGCACAUGGAGGAGCUGCCUUGGAGACAGAAUGACAGCUGUGGCAAUGUGAGCCUGAUUCCUCAGCCCCAUAAAAUAGAUGCCUUUGCAAAAAACCCAUUUCUUUUUUUUUUUUUCUGUUUUUGAGAGGGAGUCUCGCUCUGUCCCCCCAGGCGGAGUGCAGUGGCAUGAUCUCGGCUCACUGCAACUUCUGCCUCCCGGGUUCAAGCAAUUCUCCUGCCUCAGGUCCCAAGUAGCUGAGAUUACAGGCAUCCGCCACCACGCCUGGCCAAUUUUGUAUUUUAGUAGAGACGGGGUUUUGCCACGUUGGCCAGGCUGGCAAAAAGGCCAUUUCUAUACAGAGGAAUCAUCUUGCAGGACUCAAGGAAUGAUUAAGAUUAACUUUAGAAACUCGAUGCAAUAUUCCCAAGAGGAGUUAAGAUUGGGAUAAGUAAUCUCUGAAUUAAUUUCAACCUUGAGAUGUUGUGAUCCUAUGAAGUUACAGACAUAUUUCUUUUUUCUUUGUUUGAGAUGGAGUCUUGCUCUGUCACCCAAAUUGGAGGGCGGUGAUGUGAUCUCGGCUUACUACGACCUCUGCCUCCUGGGUUCAAGCGAUUCUCAGCUUCAGCCUCCUGAGUAGCUGAGAUUACAGGUGCCCGCCACCAUGCCCGGCUAAUUUUUGUAUUUUUAGUAGAGAUGAGGUUUCACUGUGUUGGCCAGGCUGGUCUUGAACUCUUGGCCCCAGCUGAUCUGCCCGCCUGGGCCUCCCAAAGUGCUGGGAUUACAGGAGUGAGCACCAUGUCCGGUCUAGAUACAUAUUUCUAUUAAUACACAUUUGCAGGGAUUGUUUGUUACUGAAGUUGACGCCUUGUGCUUGAGAAUGCUAUUUCACUGACACAAUUGUUAUGGUAUAAAUGUGAGAGUAUAGUUACAAUCUGGACACUAUUUUUUGCUUGUCUUAUUGGCCCAGCAACCAGCUUGACACUGGGGACUAUCAGGCUCCAAAUAAUAACCAAUGUCUCACUCCAAACAGACAGGAUACUACGGAGCCAGGGUCAGCAAACAUUUUCUGUAAAGGGCCAGAUAGUAAAUAUUUUGGGCUUUGUGGGCCCUAUGGUCUCUGUCACAAUGAUUCAACUCUGCUGUUGUAACAAAAAAGCAGUCAGACAAUAUGUAAAUGAAUGGGCAUGGCUGUGUUCCAGUAAAACCACAAAAACAGGCAGCUAGCUUUGGUGUGGGGCCCUAAGAGCUUGGACUUUGAAGCCAGGUUCAAAUCCUGGCUUUCUCACCUUCUAGCUCCGUUACCUUAAAGAACUUCAUUAUCUUCCUUGUAUUUUAGUCUUUUCAUCUCUAAAUUAGUGAUAGUACUUAACAGUGUUGUUAUAAAGAUUAAACGAGUUAAGUUUGUAAAGUACUUAAACAGUGCCUACCAGGUAGUAAGUGCUAUAGCAGAGUGUGUUAGAUAAUGAAACAUCCUGUGCUGUGGGUGAUAUUAUUCCCAUUACGAUUUGGAUUCAAAUAAAGAAAUACAUGACUUAGAAGAA